GGAGAGGUGCCUGAGAGGCCGAAAGGAACGGUUUGCUAAACCGUCGUCCGGGAAACUGGACCGAGGGUUCGAAUCCCUCCCUCUCCG
This 87-nucleotide transfer RNA is filed under the name Spirochaetia bacterium. Its description in RNAcentral is "tRNA-Ser". It matches the Rfam family "tRNA". From Rfam's summary of the family: Transfer RNA (tRNA) molecules are approximately 80 nucleotides in length. The record is from RNAcentral. Lineage: Bacteria; Pseudomonadati; Spirochaetota; Spirochaetia.